This 253-nucleotide ribosomal RNA is filed under the name uncultured bacterium. RNAcentral's name for it is "partial 16S ribosomal RNA". It matches the Rfam family "Bacterial small subunit ribosomal RNA", at positions 524 to 776 of the family's 1533-position model. The record is from RNAcentral.
UACGAAGGGGGCUAGCGUUGCUCGGAAUUACUGGGCGUAAAGGGAGCGUAGGCGGGUUAUCAAGUUGGGGGUGAAAGCCCGGGGCUCAACCUCGGAAUUGCCUUCAAAACUGAUAACCUGGAGUAUGGAAGAGGUAAGUGGAACUCCGAGUGUAGAGGUGAAAUUCGUAGAUAUUAGGAAGAACACCAGUGGCGAAGGCGGCUCACUGGCCCGGUACUGACGCUGAGGCGCGAAAGCGUGGGGAGCAAACAGG